This 253-nucleotide ribosomal RNA is filed under the name uncultured bacterium. RNAcentral describes it as "partial 16S ribosomal RNA". It matches the Rfam family "Bacterial small subunit ribosomal RNA", at positions 524 to 776 of the family's 1533-position model. The record is from RNAcentral.
UACGGAGGGUGCAAGCGUUAUCCGGAUUCACUGGGUUUAAAGGGUGCGUAGGCGGGCAGGUAAGUCCGUGGUGAAAUCUCUGAGCUUAACUCAGAAACUGCCAUGGAUACUAUUUGUCUUGAAUAUUGUGGAGGUAAGCGGAAUAUGUCAUGUAGCGGUGAAAUGCUUAGAUAUGACAUAGAACACCAAUUGCGAAGGCAGCUUACUACACAGUUAUUGACGCUGAGGCACGAAAGCGCGGGGAUCAAACAGG